GACGAACGCUGGCGGCGUGCUUAACACAUGCAAGUCGAACGGAAAGGCCCUGCUUUUGUGGGGUGCUCGAGUGGCGAACGGGUGAGUAACACGUGAGUAACCUGCCCUUGACUUUGGGAUAACUUCAGGAAACUGGGGCUAAUACCGGAUAGGAGCUCCUGCUGCAUGGUGGGGGUUGGAAAGUUUCGGCGGUUGGGGAUGGACUCGCGGCUUAUCAGCUUGUUGGCGGGGUAGUGGCUUACCAAGGCUUUGACGGGUAGCCGGCCUGAGAGGGUGACCGGCCACAUUGGGACUGAGAUACGGCCCAGACUCCUACGGGAGGCAGCAGGGGGGAAUAUUGCACAAUGGGCGGAAGCCUGAUGCAGCAACGCCGCGUGCGGGAUGACGGCCUUCGGGUUGUAAACCGCUUUCGCCUGUGACGAAGCGUGAGUGACGGUAAUGGGUAAAGAAGCACCGGCUAACUACGUG
This 468-nucleotide ribosomal RNA is filed under the name uncultured bacterium. RNAcentral describes it as "partial 16S ribosomal RNA". It matches the Rfam family "Bacterial small subunit ribosomal RNA", at positions 28 to 507 of the family's 1533-position model. The record is from RNAcentral.